This 1352-nucleotide long non-coding RNA is filed under the name Mus musculus (house mouse). RNAcentral describes it as "long non-coding RNA chr12:4523755-4525107". The record is from RNAcentral. Lineage: Eukaryota; Metazoa; Chordata; Mammalia; Rodentia; Muridae.
AUUUUCAGACUUCAUGGCCUCUGAUAAGGAGGAAAGAGCCUGAUAUUCUGGUUUUGUUUCUGUUUGAGGAGUGUAUACCCAGAGGAAUUGUAUGUGUCCCAGAUUCAACACAGCUGUUAAUUAGAGCUGAGAACACUUGGUUGACCCCUAUGUGGCUAAUUGCUAGAAUUGAGAAGCGUCUCUAAGGGCCUCGUAUGAUAACAACUGAAAAUUGUACUGAGCCUCACCUAAGGCUUCGGGAGCCAGCUCAGGACGGGAAGCAAUAGGCUCCCCGCAGUUCCUGGCACUGGAGAGGCAGCUCUGUGCUGAAGGAGCACUAUUAAGGAUUCUCUUCAGUGAUUAAAACACCCACAUUUCACUUUGGAUGUGAGGCUUGAGGCAGAGUGGUAGAAAAGGCUGGUGGGAGAGCUCAGAACUGUGUAGUGAAGUGUGUGUGGCCUACUUUGGGGGGCCUUGGCCGCUCCCUAAUCUUGCAGCCAGCACCAGCUGCACCCGCACGUCCCAGGCUUUCUCUGUGCUACCACACGGGGUGUGGGUUAUUCCUGUCGGAGACCCCACACUGCUUCUAAAUGAGCAGCUUGAGGUAAGUAUUGCUUCCCACACCUUAUGGCUGCACGAACGCCUAGCUCUCAAAAUGGGGGACACGUAUGAAAAUCAGGGUGACAAUCACUUCCUGUCUUCUGUCUGCUCUAUGAGGAGAGAACAGAAUCAGAAAGGUACAGUGUGAGCUGGAGUGGGGUGGGGAAGAAGAGGAGGUGAAUAACAGAGAGGAAAAGUAAGGCUGACCCUCAAAAGGCUGCCAGGGAUGGUGGCCAGAGAGAGGAGAAUGGGGACAGAGAGAUGGGGGGUGGGGGUCGGGGGGGGGGGUCUGAAGAGGAAGAGGGCAGAUGAGACCUGUCAGAGAAGCAAGGAAAGAAGAGCUUGCUCCUCCCUUGCAUGGGGGUUGGGGGAGGGUGGAGGAUGACGGGCAACAGGGAGUGUUUGGGCCUUCUCAGCCAAGAGGCUGAGAGUAUACCCCAGAUAGUACUCUGGCCGGCUCCACUACCUCAGCCUGGCCGAAGGAAGGUGUGCUGCAGCCAGCAUGUAAGGAGAGAUUCAUGAUCCCUUUUCCAGGAGAGGUUCAAACCGCGAGUCUAAUUCCAGGAAGUGAUAGCAACAGAAAGGCAACCCAGUCAGCCUCGCCCAGGGCCAGGUUGGGGAGAGACCCAAGGGAGUUGGAGGAAAAAGAAUUUAUUUCAUCGGCUAUUAGAGCCAAGGUAGGUUGUCAAGGGCACCCUGUUCCAGGGACAACUGGGGACUCUACUGGUCUUUUGUGAGUGUGGGGAUCAAAUUCAGGGCCUCCUGCAUGCUAG